AGCAGGGUGGCGCAGUGGAAGCGUGCUGGGCCCAUAACCCAGAGGUCAAUGGAUCGAAACCAAUUCCUGCUA
RNAcentral lists this transfer RNA (72 nucleotides) under Dendronephthya gigantea. Its description in RNAcentral is "tRNA-Met". It matches the Rfam family "tRNA". Rfam says of the family: Transfer RNA (tRNA) molecules are approximately 80 nucleotides in length. Their secondary structure includes four short double-helical elements and three loops (D, anti-codon, and T loops). Further hydrogen bonds mediate the characteristic L-shaped molecular structure. tRNAs have two regions of fundamental functional importance: the anti-codon, which is responsible for specific mRNA codon recognition, and the 3' end, to which the tRNAs corresponding amino acid is attached (by aminoacyl-tRNA synthetases). tRNAs cope with the degeneracy of the genetic code in two manners: having more than one tRNA (with a specific anti-codon) for a particular amino acid; and 'wobble' base-pairing, i.e. permitting non-standard base-pairing at the 3rd anti-codon position. The record is from RNAcentral. Lineage: Eukaryota; Metazoa; Cnidaria; Anthozoa; Malacalcyonacea; Nephtheidae.